Molecule: long non-coding RNA, 509 nt
Organism: Oryctolagus cuniculus (rabbit)
Lineage: Eukaryota; Metazoa; Chordata; Mammalia; Lagomorpha; Leporidae
Source: RefSeq, a predicted model, not a curated record
GCCAGCGAAACUGAGUCACUGCACACCUGAGCGAAGAUGCAUCUGACGACGGAGGAAGGCAGGGCUGGUCCCAGACCUUUUCCCGAUUCCCGCUCGACUGGAAAAGCCAGCGUGAGCAAGACUCUCAGAGCCAGGAAGGAGCCAGGCCCAGAGGGAAAAACAGGUGGAACUGCAUCUGUAGGCUGGGUACAGUGCUUUGCAAGACAAAGCAGUGCCGUGGCUAGGACAGGUCUGCCAUCAGACAGCCUGGCUACCAACCCUGACGCUCCAGACAGCGCCACCUUGACUCUCUCCUACUGUGUGGGAAAGCAAUGGAAGAUGACCUAAAUCUUUGGGCCCCUGCACCUCGUGGGAGACCCACAAGAAGCUCCUGGCUCCUGAUCGGCCCAGCUCCGGCCAUCGCAGCCAUUUGAAAAAUGAGCCAGUGGAUGGAAGGUCUUCAUUUCUGUCUCUCCUUUUCUCUCUGUAACUCUGCCUCUCAAAUAAAUAAAUAAUCUUUAAAUAGAAUA